RNAcentral lists this unclassified non-coding RNA (178 nucleotides) under fungal sp. RNAcentral describes it as "partial internal transcribed spacer region". The stretch from base 1 to 46 matches the Rfam family "Eukaryotic small subunit ribosomal RNA", at positions 1786 to 1831 of the family's 1831-position model. The record is from RNAcentral. Lineage: Eukaryota; Fungi.
AAGUCGUAACAAGGUUUCCGUAGGUGAACCUGCGGAAGGAUCAUUAACACGUAUCCAACGUUAAAACCCCCCGUGAACCUUUAUUGUGGCACGCCUAUCCAUGCAUGAAAACGGGCCUGCGCUUAAUUGUGCGGCCACCAAACUCGAACAACUGUUAACAAUGGAUAUCUUGGUUCUC